UACCAAGCCUUAUCCUUGCCAAAUAUGCUUCUAGCUACUUACUAGAGUCCUUAAGUCAAAAUCACUCUUAAAUCCACUUAAGUCUUAAAGACAAUCACACAAAGCAAAGUAACAAACAACCUAGACUCUAAAAUCGGACCCCUAUGAGAGCUUCCUAUUCGCACAAGAUAUAAGNUAUCUAGUCGAGAAUUGGAAAAACAAUUAAGGCGAGGUCUCCUAGGUGAGGCUUAGAUGUUGGAUCUAAGACACACUCACCGUCUACCCAAUUUUAGUUUAUGAGACUUCUUUGAGUCUAGUUACAAAUGAGGGAAGAGCACUUGUGAACUCUAGCACCUCACUUGCUUGGAUUUGGAACUUACAACCAAGAAACAAUGGAAAUUACAAAAGCAAUUGGAUGAAUUGGAAAAGGAAAAUAAACUAGACUAAGGAAUUGAUAAGUGCAGCUUUGGUUGCUCUCAAAAAACUUGAAUCUGCUGGAUUNAAUCACAAAACUCUCAGCUGCAAUGUACGUGUUCAAUGCUGGAUGAAAUUCUGCAGUAGCAGGCCUGUUGCUGUUGCUGCAGAAUGGUGCAAUGCUGUCAGCUCACUGGUGCGUUUCUGCCUUGCCGAGAGUGCACUUUGUGCCUUGUUUUCUCAAGCCAAAACUUCCUUUGAUGCUUCCUUGAGUGUAGAGUAGUCUGAACUAUACCACACC
Molecule: long non-coding RNA, 694 nt
Filed under: Vigna radiata
Lineage: Eukaryota; Viridiplantae; Streptophyta; Magnoliopsida; Fabales; Fabaceae
Description: long non-coding RNA (VRAD_LNC016507)
Source: RNAcentral